GGGCCCGCACAAGCGGUGGAACAUGUGGUUUAAUUCGACGCAACGCGCAAAACCUUACCUGGAUUUGACAUCCCGGGCUCACCUCAGAGAUGAGGUUUUCUCUUCGGAGACCCGGUGACAGGUGCUGCAUGGCUGUCGUCAGCUCGUGUCGUGAGAUGUUGGGUUAAGUCCCGCAACGAGCGCAACCCUUGUCCCUAGUUGCCAGCAUUGAGUUGGGCACUCUAGGGAGACUGCCGGUGAUAAGCCGGAGGAAGGUGGGGAUGACGUCAAGUCCUCAUGGCCUUUAUGUCCAGGGCUACACACGUGUUACAAUGGGGGUGACAAAGAGUGGCAAGCUGCGAAGCUGCGCAA
RNAcentral lists this ribosomal RNA (351 nucleotides) under uncultured bacterium. RNAcentral describes it as "bacterial SSU rRNA". It matches the Rfam family "Bacterial small subunit ribosomal RNA", at positions 917 to 1270 of the family's 1533-position model. The record is from RNAcentral.